GGCGAACUGGACCGCGAACAGGUCGCACCGGUCGCGACGGCGAUCGGCCAGCUCACCAGCGCGCUGGGCGACGUUCCGCUCAUCGGGUUCGCCG
Molecule: transfer RNA, 94 nt
Filed under: Mycobacterium sp. THAF192
Lineage: Bacteria; Bacillati; Actinomycetota; Actinomycetes; Mycobacteriales; Mycobacteriaceae
Description: tRNA-Ala
Source: RNAcentral